GACGUAGGGCGCGAGCGCUGUCCGGAUUUAUUGGGCGUAAAGAGCUCGUAGGCGGCUUGUUGCGUCGACCGUGAAAACCCGGGGCUCAACUUCGGGCUUGCGGUCGAUACGGGCGGGCUAGAGUUCGGUAGGGGAGACUGGAAUUCCUGGUGUAGCGGUGGAAUGCGGCAGAUAUCAGGAGGAACACCGAUGGCGAAGGCAGGUCACUGGGCCGCAACUGACGCUGAGGAGCGAAAGCAUGGGG
RNAcentral lists this ribosomal RNA (244 nucleotides) under uncultured bacterium. RNAcentral's name for it is "partial 16S ribosomal RNA". It matches the Rfam family "Bacterial small subunit ribosomal RNA", at positions 524 to 766 of the family's 1533-position model. The record is from RNAcentral.